UACGGGAGGCAGCAGUGGGGAAUAUUGCACAAUGGGCGCAAGCCUGAUGCAGCCAUGCCGCGUGUAUGAAGAAGGCCUUCGGGUUGUAAAGUACUUUUCAGUCGUGAGGAAGGUGUUAAGGUUAAUAACCUUAGCAAUUGACGUUAGCGACAGAAGAAGCACCGGCUAACUCCGUGCCAGCAGCCGCGGUAAUACGGAGGGUGCGAGCGUUAAUCGGAAUUACUGGGCGUAAAGGGCACGCAGGCGGUUAAUUAAGUUGGAUGUGAAAUCCCCGGGCUUAACCUGGGAAUGGCAUUCAAGACUGGUUAGCUAGAGUCUUGUAGAGGGGGUAGAAUUCCGAUGUGUAGCGGUGAAAUGCGUAGAGAUGUGGAGGAAUACCGGUGGCGAAGGCGGCCCCUGGACAAAGGCUGACGCUCAUGUGCGAAAGCGUGGGGAGCAAAC
Molecule: ribosomal RNA, 441 nt
Filed under: uncultured bacterium
Lineage: Bacteria
Description: bacterial SSU rRNA
Rfam family: Bacterial small subunit ribosomal RNA
Source: RNAcentral